Molecule: long non-coding RNA, 618 nt
Filed under: Helianthus annuus (common sunflower)
Lineage: Eukaryota; Viridiplantae; Streptophyta; Magnoliopsida; Asterales; Asteraceae
Description: sRNA HanXRQr2_Chr07g0289341
Source: RNAcentral
GAAAACAACAACCAACAAUUUAAGAUGGUAACACAUUACAAGUCAAUUGUCCAAAUAGAUGCAAACUUUAACAAAAGUUGAGCUAUAUACAUAUAUAAUUCUAAUGAUCAUCACAUAACAUAUUUCUAAAUCCAACUCAUAACAUCCACAAAACAAUCUAAUAUAACGCGACAUAGUUUAUUGUUGGGGAUAGUGUAGCCAUUGAUGUUCAAUUAGGUCUUCUUGAAGCUGAUGAUGUGCUGAGCUAUCUUUAAUAUGAAGACGACUACCUUCAAUUUAAACAUUCGUGAAGGUCCUCGAAUGAUUGCAAAUCGUUUUUGAAGUACUCCAAAUGUUCGCUCGACAUCUUUUCUUGCAGAUUCUUGUGCUUUUGCAAAAUGUUUAUUCUUGUUCCCUCUUGGUGAUGGAAUCGCUUUUACAAAAGUUUGCCACUUAGGAUAAAUACCAUCUGCAAGGUAAUACCCCAUAGUAUAGUCGUGGCCGUUGACUAUGUAAUUGACUAGUGGAGCAUACCCUUACGCAAGUUCCAUGAAAAUAGAAGACAUUAAUGUCGUUAUGUGAACCGGGCAUACCAAAAAAUGUAUGCCAUAUCAAGAGAUCAUAUGAAGCAACCGCCUC